RNAcentral lists this long non-coding RNA (681 nucleotides) under Ricinus communis (castor bean). RNAcentral's name for it is "long non-coding RNA (RCOM_LNC000531)". Lineage: Eukaryota; Viridiplantae; Streptophyta; Magnoliopsida; Malpighiales; Euphorbiaceae. The record is from RNAcentral.
UGAAUAGUGAAAUUGUGGAAGCAUGUUUAGUAAACAUGAUAUAUAGGAACCAUGUUUAAGUUUUGAAUACAACUGCAAAACAAGGCAUUGGGUAGCGUUUAUUUUGCAUUAACGAAAGUCUUACAAGCAUUUAUAAGUAAUUAAUUACUUUUUAUUUGCAAAUAUAUGCUGAUUGAGUCUCAGAAUAUUGGAUUCAUUACAUGCAUAUAUAUUAAAAAUAACAAGGCUGCAAACACCGGAAAAGAAGGAGCUGCAGAUACGUUCUUGAUUAACAAACAUUUUUGUUGAAGAAAAUUGAACUUUGAUCGUCAGGGCUAGCAUGAAAAGAUCCCCGGCGGACAUCGCGGUGGUACGUGAUUAUUUCCGUUGCAUGUUGUUGGAGGAGUUUGAGGAUUUGCACCGCAACUCUCACUAGUUAAUUGGCGAGCGAAAAUGGAGGAGCAGUGGAAAGUAAGAAUUGCUGUGGCCAAGACCAACACAAUACAUACUAUGCGAAUUGCCUUCAUUCUGGAUAUAUUUAAUUUCACUGAAUGAGUUGCUUCAUGCUCUUCCCACUUAUUUAUAGGGAGGAAAACCUCCUCUUCUUCAGCAGAAAAUAUCAUUAAAAAACAAUUGCCACGUCAGUGAUCAUAAAUUCAUGAAUUUAGCUGUAUAUUAUUAAUACUAUAAUCUCAAUAUUAC